UACGUAGGGGGCAAGCGUUGUCCGGAAUUAUUGGGCGUAAAGCGCGCGCAGGUGGUUUCUUAAGUCUGAUGUGAAAGCCCACGGCUCAACCGUGGAGGGUCAUUGGAAACUGGGGAACUUGAGUGCAGAAGAGGAAAGUGGAAUUCCAAGUGUAGCGGUGAAAUGCGUAGAGAUUUGGAGGAACACCAGUGGCGAAGGCGACUUUCUGGUCUGUAACUGACACUGAGGCGCGAAAGCGUGGGGAGCAAACAGG
RNAcentral lists this ribosomal RNA (253 nucleotides) under uncultured bacterium. RNAcentral describes it as "partial 16S ribosomal RNA". It matches the Rfam family "Bacterial small subunit ribosomal RNA", at positions 524 to 776 of the family's 1533-position model. The record is from RNAcentral.